RNAcentral lists this transfer RNA (85 nucleotides) under Prevotella sp. CAG:1124. Its description in RNAcentral is "transfer RNA-Leu(CAA)". It matches the Rfam family "tRNA". From Rfam's summary of the family: Transfer RNA (tRNA) molecules are approximately 80 nucleotides in length. Their secondary structure includes four short double-helical elements and three loops (D, anti-codon, and T loops). Lineage: Bacteria; Pseudomonadati; Bacteroidota; Bacteroidia; Bacteroidales; Prevotellaceae. The record is from RNAcentral. RNAcentral also lists the same sequence under 2 other names.
GCCCAGAUGGCGGAAUCGGUAGACGCGCUGGUCUCAAACACCAGUGGGGCAACCCGUGCCGGUUCGACCCCGGCUCUGGGUACGA